GCCCCACUCCUUUUUCUGCAGAAUCACAAUGGUGGCUGGGAUCCUGUACACAUACCCUGAAAACUGGAGGGCCUUCAAGGCCCUCAUUGCAUGCAGUACAGUGGAGCUCGGGUCCAGGUACCCUCUGCACCACCCUACUUCCACUUUGGCCAAACCAACAGCGCCCCUGAAUUUCUCCCUAAGUUUCUUGCUGGCAAGUUUCCAGCAUUUGAAGGUAAUUAUGGAUUCUGUGUGUUCAAGAGCAAUGUCAUUGCCUACUAUGUGAGCAAUGAGGACCUGUGGGUAAGUAGUCCAGAAGCAGCAGUCCAGGUAGGUGAGCUUUGCUGAUAGUGACAUAAUGCUCCCAGCCAGUAUCUGGGUGUUCCCCACCUUGAGCAACAUGCAUUAUAAUAAGCAGGUCACAGAGACUACAAAGUAGAACAUGAGGUGAAUACUAGGGCUUCUGGAUGCUCACUUGAAGACAAGGACCUUUCUGGUGGGUGAACGUGUGACACCGGCUGACAUCACAGUUGUCUGCACCCUGCUAUGGCUCUAUAAGCAGAUCCUGGAGCCAUCUUUCCACCAGGCCUUCCCCAACAACAACCACUGUUUCUUCACCUGCAUUAACCAGCCCCAGUUCUGCGCAGUCUUGGGGGAGGUAAAGCUCUGUGAGAAGGUGGCCCAGUUUGAUGCUAAAAAAGUUUGAGAGAGCUAGCCUAAAAAGGGCAAACCCUGGAAGGAGAAAUAACCUUGAGAGGAGAAGCCAAAACCCUAGCCCAAGCAGAAAGAGGAGGGAAAAAGGCUGCUGCAUCCACUUCCGAGGAGAAGAUGGAUGAGUAUGAGCAAGUGCUGGUGGCAGAGCCGAUGGCCAAGGACCCCUUUCCUCACCUGCCCAGGAGUACCUUUGUAUUGGGUAAAUUCAAACACAAGUACUGCAAUGAGGACCUGCUGUCAGUGGCGCUGCCAUAUUUUUGGGAGUACUUUGAUAAGGACAGCAGGUCCCUAAGGUAUUCUGAGUGCUGCUUCCCUGAAGAGCUCACCCAGACCUUCAUGAUCUGCAACCUCAUCACUGGAAUGUUCCAACAGUUGGACAAGCUGAGGAAGAACUCCUUUGCCAGUACCAUCCUCUUUGAAACCAACAGCAGCUCCAUUUCUGGAGUCUGGGUCUUCUGAAGCCAGGAGCUUGUCUUUCCACUGACUCCAGACUGGCAGGUGGACUACAAGUCAUACACAUGGUGGAAGCUGUAUCCUAGCAGUGUGAAGACCCAGAUACUAGUGUGAGAAUACUUUUGCUGAGAGUAGGCCUUCCAGCAAAUGGGCAAAGCCUUCAAUCAGGGCAAGAUAUUAAAGUGAACAUCUCUUGCCAUCAUCCAGCUGCCUGCACCCAUCCUCCAGGGAGCUGGGAGUCAUUAAAGAAAACUGAAUAU
This is an RNA transcript of Pipistrellus kuhlii (Kuhl's pipistrelle), 1406 nucleotides long. It is a transcript of the gene named elongation factor 1-gamma-like, with no coding region annotated. NCBI's taxonomy places the organism in Eukaryota, Metazoa, Chordata, Mammalia, Chiroptera, Vespertilionidae. The transcript has a single exon. The record is from RefSeq and is a predicted model, not a curated record.